This 1246-nucleotide ribosomal RNA is filed under the name metagenome. Its description in RNAcentral is "bacterial LSU rRNA". It matches the Rfam family "Bacterial large subunit ribosomal RNA", at positions 1691 to 2925 of the family's 2925-position model. The record is from RNAcentral.
CGAGAUAAUCAUGGUGAAGGAACUCGGCAAAAUGCCCCCGUAACUUCGGGAGAAGGGGGGCCAUCCACUUAUACGGAUUUACUCCGGAAAGGGUGUGGUGGCCGCAGAGACCAGUGGGAAGCGACUGUUUACUAAAAACACAGGUCCGUGCUAACACGCAAGUGGACGUAUACGGACUGACGCCUGCCCGGUGCUGGAAGGUUAAGAGGAGAGGUUAGACUUCGGUCGAAGCUUUGAAUUUAAGCCCCAGUAAACGGCGGUGGUAACUAUAACCAUCCUAAGGUAGCGAAAUUCCUUGUCGGGUAAGUUCCGACCUGCACGAAUGGCGUAACGACUUCCCAGCUGUCUCCACCGUGAACUCGGCGAAAUUGCAGUACGAGUAAAGAUGCUCGUUACGCGCAGAAGGACGGAAAGACCCCGUGACCUUUACUACAGCUUGGUAUUGGUGUUCGGUGUGGCUUGUGUAGGAUAGGUGGGAGACUGUGAAGCUUGGACGCUAGUUCAGGUGGAGUCAUUGUUGAAAUACCACUCUGGUCAUAUUGGAUAUCUAACUACGGACCCUGAUCGGGUUCUGGGACAGUGCCUGGUGGGUAGUUUAACUGGGGCGGUUGCCUCCCAAAAAGUAACGGAGGCGCCCAAAGGUUCCCUCAACCUGGUUGGCAAUCAGGUGGCGAGUGUAAGUGCACAAGGGAGCUUGACUGUGAGACUGACAGGUCGAGCAGGGACGAAAGUCGGGACUAGUGAUCCGGCAGUGGCUUGUGGAAGCGCUGUCGCUCAACGGAUAAAAGAUACCUCGGGGAUAACAGGCUGAUCUUGCCCAAGAGUCCAUAUCGACGGCAUGGUUUGGCACCUCGAUGUCGGCUCGUCGCAUCCUGGGGCUGGAGUUGGUCCCAAGGGUUGGGCUGUUCGCCCAUUAAAGCGGUACGCGAGCUGGGUUUAGAACGUCGUGAGACAGUUCGGUCCCUAUCCUCUGCGCGCGUUGGAAAUUUGAGAGGAUCUGACCCUAGUACGAGAGGACCGGGUUGGACGAACCUCUGGUGUGCCAGUUGUUCUGCCAAGGGCAUGGCUGGUUGGCUACGUUCGGGAUGGAUAACCGCUUAAAGCAUCUAAGCGGGAAGCCGGCCUCGAGAUGAGAUUUCCUUACGACUUGAUCGUGUGAGGCUCCCAGUAGAUUACUGGGUUGAUAGGCCAGAUGUGGAAGCACAGCAAUGUGUGGAGCUGACUGGUACUAAUAAGCCAAAGACCU